Molecule: ribosomal RNA, 483 nt
Filed under: uncultured bacterium
Lineage: Bacteria
Description: partial 16S ribosomal RNA
Rfam family: Bacterial small subunit ribosomal RNA
Source: RNAcentral
GACGAACGCUGGCGGCGUGCUUAACACAUGCAAGUCGAACGCUGAAGCUCAGCUUUUGUUGGGUGGAUGAGUGGCGAACGGGUGAGUAACACGUGAGUAACCUGCCUCCUUCUUUGGGAUAACGCCCGGAAACGGGUGCUAAUACUGGAUAUUCACUGGUCUUCGCAUGGGGGUUGGUGGAAAGGGUUUUUCUGGUGGGGGAUGGGCUCGCGGCCUAUCAGCUUGUUGGUGGGGUGAUGGCCUACCAAGGCUUUGACGGGUAGCCGGCCUGAGAGGGUGACCGGUCACAUUGGGACUGAGAUACGGCCCAGACUACUACGGGAGGCAGCAGUGGGGAAUAUUGCACAAUGGGCGAAAGCCUGAUGCAGCGACGCCGCGUGAGGGAUGGAGGCCUUCGGGUUGUGAACCUCUUUCGCUCAUGGUCAAGCCGCAACAAUGGUUGUGGUGAGGGUAGUGGGUAAAGAAGCGCCGGCUAACUACGUG